Molecule: small RNA, 100 nt
Filed under: Pongo abelii (Sumatran orangutan)
Lineage: Eukaryota; Metazoa; Chordata; Mammalia; Primates; Hominidae
Description: processed transcript
Source: RNAcentral
CGCACAGGCAGGAGGCAUGGCUAAGCCUAGACUUUUAGAGCUGAAAGAAAUAAUACGAUCCAUCUUGUUCAAGACACUCAUCUUACAGGCAAGGAGUUUG